GAACUCCUUCUGGGCAGCCAUCUGCAGGCCUGAGUGUUGCAGCUAUCAAACUGGACCAGGGAUUCACCCAUCUCACAGAGCUGUUACAGGGAUGGAAACUAACCAGUGUGGGUUUCCUCUGCCUGGACCAUGCCUCUCACAGACAACCAGUCUUGUGGCUCAUUCACGCCCUCACCUCCUUUAGCAAUUGGCUGCAAUAUCUCCUCUCCCAGGCAUUACCUGAUUCCCCUUCUUAAAGUUGCAACUCACUGCCUCUACUCAGUCCUCCCUCCCUGACCCCUCCCUUGCUUAUAUUUGUCGAGGGGACAAUCACUGUCUUGUCAGAGACACAUCGGUAAUUACGAUGUGAAUCAUAAGCUUUAUGGCCUUCUUUUGCACAGGCCCCUUCCAGAAUUUGUUGUAAGUUCUUUGUGCAUUUUAAAUAAAUAUUUCCUUUCACACUUUAAUGUGAAUU
This 454-nucleotide long non-coding RNA is filed under the name Homo sapiens (human). RNAcentral describes it as "HSALNT0361680". The record is from RNAcentral. Lineage: Eukaryota; Metazoa; Chordata; Mammalia; Primates; Hominidae.